Long non-coding RNA from Juglans regia (Persian walnut), 757 nucleotides. RefSeq lists it as uncharacterized. The transcript has 4 exons. Lineage: Eukaryota; Viridiplantae; Streptophyta; Magnoliopsida; Fagales; Juglandaceae. The record is from RefSeq and is a predicted model, not a curated record.
AGACUUGGAAGAUGUUCAAGAAGUAAAUUUGCUGGAAAGCAUCCUUGAGGAAGAGACUUAUUUGAAAAUAAAUUUGAGACUAAAUGGAGGCCAAAAAUUGAGCAGCUCCCACCAUUGACAGCAAGUUUAAAGCCUUCAGCAAAUGAAAUCCCAACACUAGAGCUAAAGCCAUUGCCGAAUGACUUGAAAUAUGUAUUUCUGGGUCCGGACAGCACCUUCCCAGUUGUGAUUUCAACCAAACUCACUCAUGACCAAGAAGGGAGACUAAUGGAAGUCUUGAGGCAGCACAAAUGUACUAUUGGAUGGACAAUCGCGGAUAUAAAAAGACAAACUCCGCCCAAUUGGAGUGCUCAAGACAUACGAAAAUUCAAGUAUGAGGGGAGAUGAUGGAUAUGUAUUCAUUCAAGAAAAGUGGAAAAUGGUUGAGCUCAAACUGGUGUAGAAUUGCAUCCAUUAAUUCAGCCCACAAGGAAUGAAGAAGAACCACUAAUAUAGUGGAGUUUAAAAUGUGAAGGCCUUUAAACGCAGACCUUGUGAGACACUGCAACUUGUUUAAUAUUUGAUUUGGUUGUGUACGUUGGAGAUAUGAGCACCAUGAUGUGGAUGAUGGCAUUCCCUGUUUCAAAAUUAGAAGCGUUAUGUAUGUAUUUGUUUUGCAUCGACAGUGAGCUUUGAAUUGUAUAACCAAGACUUGGUUUUGUAUAUGUAUGGUAUGGUAGGUGUAACAAUACAAUAGUAAAUUCUUAACUGAUAGUUG